This 74-nucleotide transfer RNA is filed under the name Leptolyngbya sp. NIES-3755. RNAcentral describes it as "tRNA-Arg". It matches the Rfam family "tRNA". From Rfam's summary of the family: Transfer RNA (tRNA) molecules are approximately 80 nucleotides in length. Their secondary structure includes four short double-helical elements and three loops (D, anti-codon, and T loops). Further hydrogen bonds mediate the characteristic L-shaped molecular structure. tRNAs have two regions of fundamental functional importance: the anti-codon, which is responsible for specific mRNA codon recognition, and the 3' end, to which the tRNAs corresponding amino acid is attached (by aminoacyl-tRNA synthetases). tRNAs cope with the degeneracy of the genetic code in two manners: having more than one tRNA (with a specific anti-codon) for a particular amino acid; and 'wobble' base-pairing, i.e. permitting non-standard base-pairing at the 3rd anti-codon position. The record is from RNAcentral. Lineage: Bacteria; Bacillati; Cyanobacteriota; Cyanophyceae; Leptolyngbyales; Leptolyngbyaceae.
UGCCUCUAUAGCUCAAUGGAUAGAGCAGCUUGCUUCUAACAAGCGGAUCUGGGUUCAAUUCCUGGUAGAGGCGU